AUCACUAUUUUACAGUAUCCAUGUAAGCUGUUGUUUUGUGAUAUAACUGCUUGUAUUGUCUAUGAUGGUCCAUGAGAUUUGUUUGCUUGUCUCAGCUUUAUUCUAUCUUUUUCUUGCUCUCUUGGUUGGUAACGUGGUUGUGUGAAGGUUUGAACCUUGGACAAUUUCAUGGUGCAUUGGGCCUCAAUCACCAUGGUAGUGUGAAGUGAUAGGCAUAUCUUAUGAUACUAUUUUGUUAAGAUCCAUUCAAUUGAUGGAAGUUGUUGAAUAUUGUUCAUGAAUUUUCUUGUAGAAGUAGUAAG
This 302-nucleotide unclassified non-coding RNA is filed under the name Hevea brasiliensis (rubber tree). The record is from RNAcentral. Lineage: Eukaryota; Viridiplantae; Streptophyta; Magnoliopsida; Malpighiales; Euphorbiaceae.